GGAGGAUUCGCCUAGUGGCCUAGGGCGCACGCUUGGAAAGCGUGUUGGGAGCAAUCCCUCAGGGGUUCGAAUCCCCUAUCCUCCGCCA
This 88-nucleotide transfer RNA is filed under the name Pseudonocardia autotrophica. Its description in RNAcentral is "tRNA-Ser". It matches the Rfam family "tRNA". From Rfam's summary of the family: Transfer RNA (tRNA) molecules are approximately 80 nucleotides in length. Their secondary structure includes four short double-helical elements and three loops (D, anti-codon, and T loops). RNAcentral also lists the same sequence under 26 other names. Lineage: Bacteria; Bacillati; Actinomycetota; Actinomycetes; Pseudonocardiales; Pseudonocardiaceae. The record is from RNAcentral.